RNAcentral lists this ribosomal RNA (717 nucleotides) under uncultured bacterium. RNAcentral describes it as "bacterial SSU rRNA". It matches the Rfam family "Bacterial small subunit ribosomal RNA", at positions 141 to 844 of the family's 1533-position model. The record is from RNAcentral.
GGAUAACACUUGGAAACAGGUGCUAAUACCGCAUAACCAUAGUUACCGCAUGGUAGCUAUGUAAAAGGUGGCUAUGCUACCGCUUUUGGAUGGGCCCGCGGCGCAUUAGCUAGUUGGUGGGGUAAAGGCUUACCAAGGCAAUGAUGCGUAGCCGAACUGAGAGGUUGAUCGGCCACAUUGGGACUGAGACACGGCCCAAACUCCUACGGGAGGCAGCAGUAGGGAAUCUUCCACAAUGGGCGAAAGCCUGAUGGAGCAACGCCGCGUGGGUGAAGAAGGUCUUCGGAUCGUAAAACCCUGUUGUUAGAGAAGAAAGUGCGUGAAAGUAACUGUUCACGUUUCGACGGUAUCUAACCAGAAAGCCACGGCUAACUACGUGCCAGCAGCCGCGGUAAUACGUAGGUGGCAAGCGUUAUCCGGAUUUAUUGGGCGUAAAGGGAACGCAGGCGGUCUUUUAAGUCUGAUGUGAAAGCCUUCGGCUUAACCGGAGUAGUGCAUUGGAAACUGGGAGACUUGAGUGCAGAAGAGGAGAGUGGAACUCCAUGUGUAGCGGUGAAAUGCGUAGAUAUAUGGAAGAACACCAGUGGCGAAAGCGGCUCUCUGGUCUGUAACUGACGCUGAGGUUCGAAAGCGUGGGUAGCAAACAGGAUUAGAUACCCUGGUAGUCCACGCCGUAAACGAUGAAUGCUAAGUGUUGGAGGGUUUCCGCCCUUCAGU